Long non-coding RNA from Alnus glutinosa, 1313 nucleotides. RefSeq lists it as uncharacterized. The transcript has 2 exons. NCBI's taxonomy places the organism in Eukaryota, Viridiplantae, Streptophyta, Magnoliopsida, Fagales, Betulaceae. The record is from RefSeq and is a predicted model, not a curated record.
GCUAAACCUAUAAAUUAAACCCCCACCUUCGUUAAAAUCGCACCUCUGAGUAUUCACUGAUUUGAGUGAGUCUGAGAGAGAAAUUUAGAGAGUGAGACCUGAUUUUCCCCUCCUUUCCUUGCUUCUUCUUCUUUCCUCCUUGUUGGGCCGAAUCAGAGAGGGAGAAUCGAGAGAGGGAUACCGCCGGAGAGGAGGGACCCAGACCCGAUUUCCGGUGGGUCAACAGUGGGUAGUCGGAGGAUGCGUUUUCCGGUGAGAUUAGAGGAGAUUUCUGGUGAAUCUUCUAGCUUUAACCGCGAUUCUUAAGGGUUGUUCAGGAUGAUGACCGCGGGUUGGUUCUUCAGUCCUUUGUGGAUGGGCAUACUAUCACUGUUGAUCCGCAGAUCAUCAAUCAGUUCAUUGGAGUGCCUCUGCUCUAGAUCUCUGGCAGCCCGUAAAAUAUGGUUGUAUUAUCUCAUCUGGAUGAUCUCAGAGACUUUUUCCAUGCUGUCCCUCAGGGAGAGGAGCAUGCCACUACCAUCAGGAUCGGUGCCCUAUUUGCCCUACACUGCAUGCUUGCCAAGAUUGUCCAGCACAACCUCUGGCCCGUUGUUAGGCGCAGUGAUCUGAUCUUGAAGAGGGCUCAGUUCGUAUAUGCCAUCUGUCUUCGCUUGCCUUUCUGCCUAUGCAAGCAUAUUUUGGGAGUUAUUCUGGAGGCCCGUGAUGAGGGCAAUACCGGUCUUCCUUUUGGCUACCUGCUCAUUCAGAUUAUUUUACAGUUAGGCAUCGGUGUAACUGGAGAGCAGAAAAUGAAGAUUCAGGAUCCCAUCAGCAAGUAGACACUGAUGAAGUUUAACGCCCAGCUGAGGUGUGAUGAUCAGGAUGAUGUUCCACUGCCCCCUCUUAUCCAUGUAGCAGUUCCUGAUAUGGCAUCCUCUUUUCAGACUGCUCCUCCACCUUCGCAGCAGGAUGCCGGCUAUGCUUAGAUAUUGGAGGCUUUUGGCUGCCCUCCAGGGCGGCAUGAGCUCUAUGCAAUUGGCACUUUCAUCUUUGCAGCAGGAGGUUCACUCGAUCAACCUCCGUGUGGAGUAGAGCCAGCUGGACAUCCAGGAGUGUCUUAGGAUCAUCAUCCAUCCAACAGUGAUGAUGAGGACGAUGCGCCUUUGGCAAAUGCAUCUUGAUUUUCUUUGUAUCGUUUUUUUUUUUGUAUUGUUGGGACACUGUUUUGUGGAUUAUUUGUUAAAACAUUUUAACUAUUGGAUAUUAUUACUCUGUUUACACUUGUCCUUCUGAGACAUCUAGGGGGAGUAAUUUUUAUAUGGUUUUUAUCCUUA